UGUAACCGUUGGUGCUGACGUCACGACGACGUCAGCGCCGUAAAUUCAAAUUUUUUUACCGUUGGCGCGUGUAAAAAAAUUUGAAUUUACGGCGCUGACGUCGUCGUGACGUCAUCACCAACU
Molecule: microRNA precursor, 123 nt
Filed under: Prunus dulcis (almond)
Lineage: Eukaryota; Viridiplantae; Streptophyta; Magnoliopsida; Rosales; Rosaceae
Description: sRNA ncRNA
Source: RNAcentral